UGAAGUCUGGCACCAUGCCCCCUUUUAUUCUCUAUGUCUCACACCCAACUAAAAUAGUUAUUAUUUCUGGGGAUGAUGGUGGGCAAGGAAAGGUAUUUUCCACAGGGAUCUAGCAAUUCUGUUUAACUAGUGGGGAUUCCUAGGGGUAGAUGGACAUUGGGAGCGAACAAACUUUCUAAAGCUGGGGGACUGUGGACCACCCUCUCUCCUACCUGCCUUAGGGUCUAGCAGGUCUUCUCCAGGAUGAGGGCGCCAGUCUGGGUGAGGGUGGGUGAGGAGCUGGCUUCUGGGUUGACCUCAAUAUUCUGCUCAGGUUCUGCUGAUUGAGCAUUUUCCUCUCUUCUUUUUUUCAUGAGGAGAUCCCUGUUCCUGUCUUGAGAACUUGAGUCCCUUCCUCCAUCUUCCUCCCUCCAUUUACUCCUCUCUCUGACUCUCUCUCUUGCUCUCUCUCUCAUGACUCACUACUGAUCACCUGUGAGUUUUUUUCACGGGCUGAGACGUGCCCGCCUUCUUCCACACUCAUCCUAGUUCCUUGUUUCUUUAAAACUUGCUCAAGAACCAACUCCUGCAGGGGGGUUUCCAGUCUUAACCCCACUCAGCAAAAUUCACCACCAUUUAUGGGCUUUCCUCAUCACAUUUAUGGGUGAAAUGCCCCGGGGAGGGCACUGGUCAUCUGGCCAGGUCUGCACUAAGUUGGACUGAUUUCUGAGAAUAGAGUCCAUGGUCGCUUUUUCUGGAUGUACCCUCUCCUGCAGGGUAGGGACUAUGAUUUUCUUGUCAACUUGAGACUUCUGAUUGCAGAGACCAAGAGGUCUUCCAUGGUCUUCCAUCAGAUAGGGAGGAAGCUAAAGGCGAGCAUCACGUCCAUCAUUUUCCCUGCGCGUGGAGUUGUGAGGGGUAGGUUUUCCUUCCCUAAACCUGAGUAUAUAGAGGAUUUAGGGAUUUUCCCUCAAGAACUAAACAUUUCCUCACGGGAGGAAAACAUAUCCCCCAUUGGACUCCUUAGGACAAAUCUUGCAGAUUAUCAUACAAAAAUGAACAGCCUGAAGUCUAAACUGACUCACUAAGGGGUAUUUCCAUCCUUGGGUUCUGGCUUAAUACUUUCUCCCCUCCCCAACUACUCACUGCCCAGCCUGGCCUCUCCCCAGACUCCGCAGCAGCCUCCUCGCUGCCCCCUUCACUUUCUUAUUCCUGAGGGUGUAGAUGAGCGGGUUGAGAGCAGGUGUGACCACGGUGUAGAAGAGCGAUACGAACUUGCCCCGUGCCUGGUUGUAGCGCUGCGCGGGCUGCAGGUAGGUGUAGAUGGCCGAGCCGUAGAACAGGCAGACGGCUGUCAGGUGGGACCCACACGUGCCCACCGCCCUCCUCCGGCCUCCGCUGAACCGCAUGCAACAGACAGCUCGGGCCACGGCACCGUAGGAGGCCAGGAUGACGGCAAACGGCAGCAGCAGGAUGACCACGCGGGCGGCGAACAUCUGGUUCUCGGUAGUGUCUCCGUCGCCUCCGCAGGCCAGCUUGAGCAACGCCGGCAGCUCACAGAUGAAGUGGUCCAGCAGGCGGGGCGCGCACAGCGGCCGCUCAGCCAGGAGCGCGGUUUGCGCAACCGAGUUGGUGAGGCCGCUUAGCCAGGAGGCGCUGGCCAGCGUGCGACAUAGGCGCGGGGAGACGAGCCCCGCAUAGCGCAGCGGGCGGCACACUGCGGCCGCGCGGUCCAGAGCCAUCACCGCCAGGAGGACGCAUUCGGCGGAACCCAGAGCCAGCGAUGCGCACAGCUGGGCCGUGCAGUGGCUGCGCGGCAGCCAGAGCGCUGGUCCGCGCAGGUUGGCCAGCAGCGGCGGCACCACGCUAGUAGUGAAGCCCGCGUCUACCAAGGCCAGGUGGCAGAGGAAGUAGUACAUGGGCGUGUGCAGGCGCGGGUCGCGCACCGCCAGCAGCACCAGCGCCGAGUUGCCCGUCAAGGUCAGGAGGUAGCACAGGAGGACAAGGGCGAAGAGGACCGGCUGCAGGGAAGGCCAGUCGGAGAAACCCAGCAGGAGAAAGCGCUCCUCUGCGCUGUAGUUGGCCUAAAGGAGGAAAACUCCCAGAAUGUUUGGAAGGUCGAAAUAAAAAAGGGUGACUACCCCUUAUAAGCAAAGGGAAAACCUUGGAGUGUGGGGCUGGGCUGGGAGAAGGAAUGGAAUCAUAUACAAGGUCAGUUUGUGGAUUGUAAUCCCAUUUACAGAUGAGAUUACUUAAAAAUAAACUCCCUAAGAAUAAGAGCAACACUCCAAGCUUGGCCUGGCCAACACUCGGUAGGCAGAAUGAUCACCUCCGUUGUUUCAGGUACUCUGUGUUUAUUUAUGCAACAGUUCAUGUAAAAUGGAGACGAGGCCAGAAGAAUCCUUGAGCAGACAGAGCCAGUUGGGCCUCCUAAGUGACCUUAACCUUGCUUGAUUUGCAAGCAUGUCUGAAACUUUAUUUGUGGUAUUUCUUGUAAAUGCCUAUGUUAAAGAAACACAGAACUUAAGCUCAACCAAUCAGAAGCAGCCAACAAAAACGUAAUUAGUAACUAGGACUUCCUCAUGGGAUAGACCAAAUAAGGCAACUGUAUAACUGUGUAACUGUAUAACUGUAACCAAUGAAAUAUUAUCUUUGCUUUUAUCUAUUUGUCCUAAAAAGCCUCCUCCUCAUGUUCUCUCUGGGGAGCUCCCUAG
RNAcentral lists this long non-coding RNA (2693 nucleotides) under Homo sapiens (human). Its description in RNAcentral is "HSALNT0103562". The record is from RNAcentral. Lineage: Eukaryota; Metazoa; Chordata; Mammalia; Primates; Hominidae.